RNAcentral lists this long non-coding RNA (43820 nucleotides) under Cucumis sativus (cucumber). Its description in RNAcentral is "long non-coding RNA (CSAT_LNC000131)". Lineage: Eukaryota; Viridiplantae; Streptophyta; Magnoliopsida; Cucurbitales; Cucurbitaceae. The record is from RNAcentral.
AAACCACAACAAGAAAGGAAUCUAUUACGUAAAAAAUUGUUAAAAUCACAUAUAAAAUAGUUUUCUCUAUCCAACCCAAUUUUAACACUCUCUCCAAGCUUUUACUCUACACUCACACCAUUUUACUACUCUUAAACGCUAGAGAAUAUAACAUAUAAUUUAAUUAAAGUUAGCCCAUUAAAACUUCAAAUGUUAUAGCCCAUGAUCUUUCCAAAACCUUUUUUAGUGUUGACAAACUCAUAUAUUUCUAAACCCUUUCAAUGUACACCAAUUCCAUGACUUUUCUAAACCUUUUUUCAUGUGUUACAACUACGCAGCUAAUAUUUUACCAAAUAUCAACAAAUUUAUACCUAUUAUUUGUUGGGUUUCUUUAUUUACCUUCUUCUAAACUUUUGUUACAAAUAAAUAGUAUAUGAUAUAGUAAAAUUUAAACUGCAGGAUUCAAAUACGAAUGCAAGGCCUGUACAGCCUCUCAACAACAGAAUAAUUCAACUUCGAUUUAGAUCCCAACAUAAUGAGAAGGAGCACUAAUGUUAUAUAUACACACAACAUGUGUUAAAGAAAUUUUCUAUGCAUACUCAAACAAUAAUAAUUACAAUAUAUACAUGUAUUAGAUAUUUGUGUGGUAAUUCUAGUAAUGGAUGGUGUUUACUUACUUAGCUUGUACAUCUCCUUUCCUUUCAUUUGGUUUAUAUGUGUGUGUAUAUAUAUAUGGCAAAUAUCAUUUUGUACCACCGAAUUUUAAGGGAUUUUAGAGUUUAUUGAUUUAAAUCAUGAACUAAUUAUAAUUGUAUCCCUAAUUUAAACUUAAAUGUUUAUAAGUAUAUCACUAACAAAAUUAAACUUAAAUUUUUAUAAGUAUAUCACCAACCAAAUUUGAAGAUUUAAAUUGCCGUAUUUAUGAAAUUUUAGGUUUAAAUUGAGGGUAUUAUAAAAUAUAAGGGUUUAAAUAGAUUCUACCUCAAAAGUUUAAAGUUUAUAUUAAUAAAAUUUAGUUUAGAGUUUAAAUUUGUACCACUCCAAAUUUCAUACAAUAAAAUGAUGUUUGCCAUAGAUUUUUUUCAAGGCAAAUUUGGAAGUUCACCAUAAGACCAUAAGACCAAGUGAAACCUCAUCAUUCCAAAAGAUACAUCAAAAUCAAUUGAAAAUAAGCUUCCAUUUAAUUAUCACAUAUAUAGAAUGAAAAUAAUUCAUAAAGAAAAAUGCACAAAAAGCACCCAAAAAAUGUGAAAAAAGAUAAAAUAAUGCCUUCAAUGGAUUGAAAACUUGAGAUGUAUUCCUUUGGAGGUGAGAAAGAAACACUUAGAAGCAAGAAAAAAAAAUCUUGAAUCAAAUUGGGAGUCUAAUUUAUAUCAAUACAUAGAGAUAAUUUUAGGUUUAAAUAUUUUAAAUCAAAUUAUAUUUUCAAUAGAAUUACAUAAAUAAAUGGAGUUUUUAAAAAAAUAUAACAAGAGGGUAAAAUAUUUAUAUUGUAUAGAACAAUUUUGAAAAUGGUAAAAACUUACAAACCCACAAUGCUAAGUACCAAAAAUACCACAUAAUUAAUUGGCCACACAUGCACAUAAAACAUGGUACACGAUCGUUCAAAUAUUGGUACACAAUCAUUUAGCUUUUGGUACAUGAUCAUGUAUCAAACCCAAACGGUACAUGAAGUGUUGUGGAUUCCCUGUUUGUUGGGAUGAGGUUGGUGAGUAGAUGAUGAUUGGUCCCGAAAUUCAGUCUACCAACGAAGCCAUGUAGAAGAUUAGAGCUCAUAUGCUGACAGCGUAGAGCAGAUAGAAAAGUUACGCUAAUGUACAGCGUAAGUGUCACUCUCGCCUCAAAUGCCACUUCCUGUGACCAAAUAGGGGGGUGUUUCCUAGACACCAGUCGUGUAUUUCAUCGUGAGAUGAUGCAAUGAACGCCUAGUAAGCGGAACAACUCACUUUAACUUGUCUCAUCGCAAAGCCUUAGAGAUUUCUACGACUCAUUACAACGAAAAUACUUAACCUUCGAUUGUACUCUAUCGCCUAGGUUUGAACACUUAACUCGAAUUCAACUACAAAGUGAUAAGUGCAAUAUCAAUACAACAGAAUAAACAUAACUUCUCUUUAUUAAUAUAAAACUUUACAUAGAGUUUGCUCUUAAUGAUUAGAUUCCUUUCUUACAUAGUACAACAGUAAAACUUGAGUCGUUCAAACCCACAUGCCUUCAUUCACCAGGGUGCUACUUCCUCAGAUCAAAGGUGUUUAGGAGUAUAAGAACCAUUUUCUUAUCAUUCUCCUUGAUCGCCCAACAACCCAACUCAAGGACAGUCUUUAGGCUCUUCACUCUUUGCUAAACUCUUCCAUUCAUCGUCUUUGGCCACACAAAAUUGUGUUGAUGCCCUUGGCACUUCUUCAAAACUGAGUCGAUGCCCUUCGUGUUAAAGGCUGAAGUUUUUACCUGUUGACUCCUUAAAAACAAGAUGGAAAGACACGACUUACUAGCCGCACAAGUUUACAUAACAAUCUGUUGGCUUUUUGGCCUUUAAUCUCAAAUUAAUUUAUUUUAAUUAUUCAAUUAAUUUAUGUUUUGAUGAUAACAAAUCUGUUUUUUUUUUUUAUUGACAAUUUUAUUAAUUUGAAUAGACCAUAUCGCAGAGCUUGGAAAAAUGAUUCUAACGCCUCUUGAAUCACCCAAAUCGAAGUUCAAAUGAAGAAAAUAUUGCUAAAAGAAGCUUAACGAAAAAAUACCCGAGAUGGUGACGUGGCGACCAAGCAUUCAAUUUGAACCAAUUAGAGAAAGCCACUUGGAGCAAUGAAGGAGUAACAAAUGUGGCUUUUUGUUAUGUUUUAUUGGCUUUUAUAAAGAAAAUGAAUUUAAAAGGAAAAUGAUUUUAAUAUUAUUAUUUUUUCUUGUGUCUAACGGCUAGUUUUUUUAAAAGAUGGUGAAGUUGCUUUAUUGAUUUCUUUUUAAACAAAGUAUUUUGAAAAGACAUAUUAUUAUAUUAUUAUUUGUAUUGUGUCUAACGGCUAAUUAAGUUUAAAUCUCAACCAUUCAUUUUUCUUUUACCUAUAUCUAAUGACUCAAAUGAUUUUGAAUUUAUCUUUCCUCUCUUUUUAAAUACUUCACAUUUACACAAGAUCACAAAAUCUUUACAAUCCUCAAGCAAAAAGCCAACAUUGUUAUUCUCUCUAAAGCUUCCAAUUUUUAUUCUUUUCAUCUUAUUCUUGAGAGCUUCUUAUUGUAUUGUGAGGAUUAAAUUUGUGAGCUUCAAAUUGUAUACUCACUCUUUUAGAGAGUUUUCUUUUGUAUGAUUUAAAAAUUUCAACAUAUUGUAACGGUUGGAUCCUAACCCGUGGAAAGGAUCGGGUUUGCUCUUGAACCCGAAAAAGGAGCAAGAAUCGGUUCGGCUCAAAUCCGUGGAAAGAGUCCAAAGAAGAUUUUCAAUCAAAAUCCCAAGAGGUGCUUGGGAAAGUGGAUGUAGGUUGAGUUUAACCGAACCACUAUAAAAUUACGGUGUCUUCUUCUCUAACUCUUUUCUAAUUAUUUUUUAAUUUAAUUUUAGUUACAUAUUCUUAUUGGUUGAGUUUGAUUGCAUACUUCCAUUCAUAUCUUUUUAUCAAUCUUGUUAUUUAACAAAGUUUACAAAGUUCUUUAUUUAAAUUUUAGAAAAUAUCUAAUUAGUUGAUUUUACUUUUUAUUUGUCGAAAAGUUUAUUUAAACCCUAUUCACCCCCCUCUAGGGUUGCCAUACCGGUCCAACACAAUCCACAUUUUCCUCAUUCAUUUGGCUUCUACACUUGAGAACCAUUCUUUACUUAACUUCAACGUCUGAUAACCUGGGGAGGGGAAUACUUAAAAUGUAAGUCAAAGACUAGUGAGUGGUGGGUUUAAGAAAUACCUUUUUAGGCAUUAAGAAAUACCUUUUCAGGGAAUACAACGAUUUCAAUAACAACGAUCUUAAUCUCAUAAACAUAAGCAUACAUUGCUUCAACACAAAUUCUCAUUACAAAUUAUAAGCACAACGAUCGCAAACAAUUCCACACGUUCUGUUCAUCAAAUAUUCAUCAUUCACCAUUGAGACUUGGGAUUCUUCCAUUCAUAUCUAAUCGCCUAGACCUGAGAUUCACCUCACCAGCAUUUACCCGCAUAGACCUGGGAUUCACUUCACCAGCGUCACACGUUAAACCUGGGAUUUACACGAGCCUCUUGCGAGAAACUUGGGAUUUCUACAAGCAUCUCGUAAUAUUCAUUCUCACCCACACCUGGGAUUCGCUUUCACCACAUCUCAUCGCUUGAUAUAGGAUUCGCUUCAACAGAGUCUCACGAUAAACCUAGAAUUGGCUUUCACCAACAUUUCAUAAAUUCAUUCCAUGCCUAGAUCUGAGAUUCACUUCACCAACGUCUAGAUUUCAAGUACACAACUCAUUCUUGCUCAAACUUGGGAUUCACUUCACUAGCAUUUACCAACCUAGACAUGGGAUUCAUUUUCACCAGUGUCUUGCGUUAAACUUGGGAUUUCUACCAGCGUCUUGCGACAAACCAACAGCAGUACCACACAUUUCACAAUCAAUACCAUCAACAAAUGAGAAACAUUAGCUCAACAGCUUACUUUCAACGCAUGAUGAUUUUUACAGCAAUAAACAUCAUCAGAAGGUUAUAAAAGAAUACUUUUCAUACAAUCGUUAGUAAAAUACUUCUUUCAUUUACAAGAAUCAUAGAUGCAAACAUUUCAGAAAAAAAACAAUCAUUCAAUCAUUUAAAAGGUCACUAAAAAAAAUACUUAAUCUAAAUUGUUUCUCCAUUUCUCUUUCGACUCCUAGCAAUUCCUUCAACCAACCUCUUCAACACUCAAAACCUUCUCUUAACAACUUUUUAGAGUGUUUAACAUCUCAUGCUUUCUCCUCUCGACCCUUAGGUCUUAUUUAUAGUGACCUAAUUUCAUAUCCAUGGGUCAUUUUCACGCUUUACAUGUCACUUUACCACAUUGAUGCACUAUGCAGCCAACCCAAGUUCAACACAUAAGUCAAGUAUUACUCCUUGAUUAGAAAUUUUCCUUGAGACGCCAACCUUAUCUCUUUGGAGUACUCAACCCACCUAACUCUCUACUCGGAACAUUAAAAGAGAAUAAAGUUAUCAUGACACAAAAAUGCAUCGGGAUAAAUAAAAUCAACAAACGGAGCUUACCCUAGUGCCAUAAAUUCUAUGUCGUCAGUGGUCGUCUGUCUUAAUGUAGUGUUGAACACGUCAGGACAACAUAACACUUUCUCGAUGCAAUUUACAAAAACAUCAUGGAAACAUUUUGUUUAAAUAGUAAUUUAUAUUUUUCCCGACGUCAUGUAUAUAAACAUCAAGGAUACUCUAGCUAUGGCCGACGUUAAAGUUAAUGGUGUCGGGAAAAAUAUAUAUUAUUAUUUCAUUUUUUUGGUUACCCGACAUCUUCGUGCAUGGCAUUAGGAAAGGGUUAGACUAUGUCGACAUUAGGGUCGACCACGUUGGAGAAAAUUUAGCCCUUAAAUAAUUAUUUCAACCUUUCUCUAAUGCCAUAAGUGAGACGUCGAGAUUGAGCAAACUAUGGUUGAUGUAAAGGUUGACCAUGCAGGGAGAAACUGUAACUUUGAAAACUUUUUAAAAAUUUUCCCUACGCCAUAAGUGAACAAGUGAAACGUCGGGAUUGAGCACAAGUAAUCUUGAAGUGUUCACUUAUAACGUUAGAAUUAGGGAUUUUCACGAUGUUUUUGGUUUGCAUCUGAAGAACCCCUAUUAAUAAGCAUUGUGUGUUCACAGAACACAAAACAUAACGAAUGAGAAAAGAGAAAAGGUUAGAGAAUGAGAGAGAGAGUCAUUGUCAUUGUCGUGGCCAUUUGUCAUCUCCUUACCUAUCGACAUCGUGUUUCACCGUCCAGCGUCCUCCAUUCGUCGUCGUCACUACAUUUCAGUAAAGAUACGUUUUUUUUCUAAAUAUAUAUAUGAUUGAUAUUGAAUUUGUUUGCAUGAAUAAUGUAUCAAUUGUGUGUAUAGAUUGUAUAUUGUAUAUUGAAACGGUCAUUGCCAUCGUCGUCGCAUUAAAUUGUAUGUGUCGCGACGUGAUCGCUACGCGGAGCGGCCGACCUCUCCGUUUAUUUUAUUUUAAUAAAUAGUUUUGGAGUCGCCACCAACCAUAUUAGGGUGUGAUUGGUCACCAAAAAAAAAAAAAAAUGGUCUGCGUACAUUAAGAGAUUUAAGUUCGGGAGUCAAGUUGUGUGUAGGGAAGGUGUUAGCACCCUACAACACCCAAAAAUGGUUACCCAAUUUUAUCUUUUAAAUUAAAUUAUAGAGGUUCACAAAACAAAGUUUUUAUUUAGGUUUUGUUUAAAUGUCCCAUGUUUAUCAAUUCAUAUCGAAGAAAGUAAAACCUAAGCAUGAAUUGAUGAUUAUGGGUGGCAUAGGAGCCAUUAGAAAAAUUAAGUUUAUUUUUGUUUUAAAAGAUUUUUAUUCACCUUAAGAAUAUUAAGAUACCAAAACUUGAUAUUUUAAUCUCUAUCAUAGGUGUUUAAUGAAAAAUUUCAUAUAUCUAGAAUUAAUAAAUUCAUAGAAAAUACUACUCAGUCUCAUUUAAAAUAUGAAAUGUGUUAAUUUAAAAAAACAAUCUAUUAAUUAAAUUUCAAACAGAAAAAUUUCAUGUAUUUAUGGAUUUUAAAUUAUAAAAUCCAUAAAAAAACAAUACUUUUUCUCCAAUUUACAUUAUUAUAUUUAAAUAAAAAAAAGAAUAAUAACAAAGGCAAAACAUUAUGAAAUUUGAAAAAUACUUAGAAGUAAUAUGCUGAGAUAAAAUAAAUACAUUGAUAAUAUAUGCAAAAUGUAAAAGAUAUUAAUGUAGGAUGCAAGAUAAUUAAUUAAUGCAGGAUGCAAAAUAAUUGAUUAAUGCAUAAUUAAACGAGGGCCAAAUGGAUAUCAAAUAAUAAUUAACAGUUGAAUGCCAAAGUAGGUUUGGCCCAAUAUGCAAAUAAAUAAUAUUGCAAAUAAAUAAUCACACCAAAAUGAAUAUCAAAUAAUUAUAGCCACAUAUGCAUACUGAUUAAUUAAUACAUCAUGCAAAUAAUUAGAAUGAGGGAGUGAAAAUGUCACAUACAAGUUGCUAAUUAAUUAAUAGGCCAAAUGAAAAAUGGUUGUUGCCAAAUAUUAAUUAUAUCAUGCAUAAUUAUUAACAUGGAUAAUAUAUGGAUAGCAGUAAUUAUUAACGGAGUAUGUCAUAUGGAUACAUGGAUAAAGUAAUUAACAAAGACUGUAAAAUGGAUGCCAAUGAAGAAUGAGUAUUACCAAAUACAAGAUGUUAAUUGAUUAAUUAUGCAUAAUUAUUAAAGUAUGUUAUAUGGACAUAAGUAAUUAACUGUAAAAUGGGUGCCAAUAAAGAAUGAGUAUUACUAAAUACAGAAGGCUAAUUGAUUAAUUAUGCAUAAUUAUUAAGGCAUGCCAUAUGGAUAUAAGUAAUUAAGUGUAAAAUGGGUGUCAAUGAAGAAUGAGUAUCCAAAUACAAAUAUAUGAUGCUGAUUAAUUAAAAAGAAAUUAACACAGGAUGGAUGCCUAGUAAUAAAAGAAAAUUAACACAGAAUGGAUGCCUAGUAAUAAAAGAAAAUUAACACAGAAUGGAUACCCAACAAUUAAAAAGAAAUUAACACAGAAUGGAUACCCAACAAUUAAAAAGAAAUUAACACAGGACAGAAUGGAUACCCAAUAUUUAAAAAGAAAUUAACACAGGACAGAAUGGAUACCCAAUAUUUAAAAAGAAAUUAACAUAGAAUGCUCAAUAUUUAAAAAUAAAAAAUAAAAAAUUUAAUAUAGAAUGGAAGGUAGAAUGCUCAGAAAGAUACAAAUAAUAAAAUUAACAUGUUAAAUGAUGGUAAAAUGAUGAACACGAUAGUUCAUAAUUAAAAGCAGUAUAUCAAACAAGAAAAAAAAAAUCAUUAAACAAGAAUAAGAAUAAAAAGAGGAAAAAGAAAAAAAAAAACUUACCGGCAGGUCUGCCCUUCAAUGCCAAAGGUUAUUCCUUUUGAUCUUCUUUCACUCUUCACCUCUUUCUAAAUCCUCCAAUAAUAAAAAAAAAGAUCCUCUCCCUUUUCUUUUUUCCUCUUUCCUUUUUAUAGGGCAAACUCUAUUGUUUUUUUAGAUCACGAGAUGGAGUGCAGACUACAGAGAAAUAGGAAGAAAGUGGGAGAGUGGGAGAAAGUGAUAGAGUGGGAGAAAGUGGGAGAGUGAUGACGAAGAAAAAGGGAUGGUUGAGAAAAAAUAGGAAGGAAAUCAAACCUUUUAUUUUUAUUUUUAUUUUUAUUAUUUAUUUUUAAAUGUAUUUAUUAUUAUUGUUGUUUUUUUUUUAAAUAUAAAUUUAAGAUUCAAAUUCAAAUUUAAUUUCUUUUUCUUUUUCUUUUUUCUUUUAUAAUAAAUAAAUAUAGGACAAAAUACGGUAUCUACAGUAUGUAUAGAUUAUAUAUUGAAAUUUUUGGAAGUUUAUGAAUUCAAUUGUAUAUGAAUUGUUUAUGAAUUUAAUUGUAAGUAUAUUGAAAUUUGUAAUAGGAGACUUGUUAGGUGUAGUUUAUUCAUGGAGUAAGUUUGAGAAUUUGAGAGGAGGAAUAUAAGACUAAUGAAACCUAUUUAUGUUCUAAGUCUUUAACGAUGGACAAAGGUUGAAUGAAAAUUAGGAAUAAGUUCUCGAUUGAGUAUAGAGAUGAAGUAUCCCAACUUUUAGAGGUUGUGAAGUAUCACGUCGAUGAGUACGGACGGACAAGGUGUAUAUAUGCAAGAGAUGUAUGAACUUACAUUAGGACUCGUUAGAGACUGUAAAGCGACAUUUAUUAAUGAUUGGAAUAUCCCACUCCUAUACAAAUUUAGUGUAUCAUGGAAAACUAGUGAACUUGCAUAAAGAUAUAAAAUGAUUUGAUGAAAGAACUAGCAGUGACCCUUUCCAUGAAGAAACUAGCAGUAACCCUUUCUACGAAGGAACUAGCAGUAACCUUUUUCCUGAAGACAAUGAAAUGUUGGGUAUGUUUCAUGAUUUACAAGCUUCGAUUGAACACAAAGAAGAAAUGAAGGAAGGUUUAGAGAAUGACACGUCGUUUAAUAGUGGUGUAGAACAAGAGAGAACAAACAUAUUUCAGGAGUUAUUAAACCAAGCACAUAGUGAACGAUACCCUGAAUGCUUAGAUUCUUAAUUCCUGAACUUUUUGGUUACAUUGAUGCAUGAAAAGGUUCUUAGCGGUUGGAGUAACAAGUCCUUUGACAUGUUGUUAGAGAUAUUAAAAUGUGCAUUUGCAAUGUGUGUAGUACCACUAUCCCUAGUUUAUUCUACGAAGUCAAACGAACAUUGUGUGACUUAAGGCCUAGGAUACAAGUUUAUUCGUACUUGUAAUUGCGACAAUGUAUUGUAUUGGAAGAAGUUUGGGGAUUUGCAAAAUUGUCCAACUUGUGAUGAGUCUCGUUACAAGGUUAGACCUAACAGAGGGGAAAAAAUUAUGCAUAAGAUAUUGCGACACUUUACAUUGAUACAGAGAUUACGACGAUUAUUUGUAUCACAAGAUGGCUCAUCUAACAUAUAAAAUGACAGAAGGAUAAACGAAUCGAAAUAGAGGAUGUGUUGUGACAUCCAGCUAAUGCAAAGGGAUGGAAGCAUUAUGAUUUUGAAUUUUCUGAGUUUCCUUCAGCUUCAUGGAACGCUUGUUUGGAUUGACUUCUAAUGAGUUUAAUCUGAGUACUGGAUAGCAUGUCCCUACGAGAUCACUGGAUAUAUAGCGUGUGUUCGAGAGCAUGAUAGUUUUGGGUACUUCCUUAUGGAACCUUAAUAGGAAGUUAACAGACACCUAGCGGGACUAGUAAUGGGUCUCUUACGGAGUGUAUGUUUAUACUCAUCAUUUUCUAUGUUUAAUAUUUCAGGAAAAGAUAAAGAUGGAGGAAAGCUAGCGAGCGACAUGAAUGUCCAUGACAUGCCAUAUGGGGACAUAGUUCAUUGGUUGUUUUUUUAGUGUUUUGAGCUUAAAUAUUUUUAUCUAUCUAUUUUUAUUUUCUUUAAAAUUUGUAAGCCCCCCGCAGCAUGUUUUCAUGGUAUUUUUAAUGAAAAUUUAGUUUUUCUCUUUUCAAGAAAUUGUAAAAAUUAUUGUUUAUCUUUAAGGUAAUGACCUCAACUUAGUAUAAAAAGUUGGAGUUGGGUCGUUACAAAAGCAGCCCUACAACCAUACUAAUGAAUCGAAGUCGUUUCUACAAUGAUAGAACGAGCUUGCUGAACAACAGGGUCAAUCAGUCAACGAGUGGAGUUGUUUAUAGAAACACACGCUCGGGGUUCGUCAGUUCGUCUCGCAGGAAGAUGUGAAUGCACAUGUAAGUUUAUGAAAGAAAAUCUUGUGUUUUAUUUUAUUGAUUUAAUUUACAAUUAGUUUGACUUAAUUAAAAAUUUUCUUGCAGAAUCAAAUACUGGAACUCUAGUUCCAGCUAACCCAAGAGUUUUCUCAACAACUCUCUAGAAACGAGAUAUGCAAGAAAGUUUUGGGUAGACAAUCAGGCUACUCAGAAGGUCUUGGUUAGAGCCCAGGCCAAAGUUUCGAAAGGUUGUUAGCAGUUCUUCGUCUUUAUCAUAUGAGCAAUAGAUGUACACGAGAGAGGUCAUCGAACUAAAAGCUCGCGUUGAUGCCGCUCAAUAAUGUAUUGAAGAACAAUGAAGAAUUUCGGUGUUGCAUGAGCGAAAACACAAAGAAAGUGACCGAAAGAUGGAAGAAAUGAGAAAGAUGAUUGAAGAACUGACUCGAACACAGAAAGGACCUUGAUUCCAUUGCAGUAUAUAUUUUUCAACUUCUCAGUUCUUUAAUUUUUUUAUCGAUAAUAUAUAUCUAAAUAUAAUUUCAUAUCAUUGCAGCUUGGGAGGCUUGGGGAAACUGGCAUCCGUGAUGCUUGGUAGAAUUAUAUUUUUAGUUUUUAGUUUCUAUUAUUCAUGUAAUUUAUGAACCUACAAAUGUGUACUUUUUUAAUAUUUUAAUUAAUUUUAAUAUUAAUUCAAUUUGGUAUUUUAAUAAUUUUUUAUUAAUUUUACGUUAAUUAUGUUUAGAAUUUGAUUGAACUUAAACUGAAUUCGAACCCAAUAGCAAAAUAACAAUAAUAAUAAUAAAUUUCAAAAAUAUUAUUAAAAGUUUUUCCUGACGCACCAAUGACAUUGGAAAUUGACGUAUAUACUAACACCGCGUCAGGUGUUCUCUAUUAUCGAUGUAGAAUCCAACUUUAAUAAUACCCUAUUGCCAACGCGUUGAUCGAAUGUCAAACAUGGCUUUUCCCGUACGUUUUGUGUCAGUCUGUGAAGCCUGCGUCAAGCAAAAAGUAUUGCUAACGUCGUUCUGUUGGUGCGUCGAUUUUGCCUCUCCCAACGUAGUAUUGUCAACAUUCUCUCUGUUGAAAUUUAUGUCCUAAAACUAGUAGAUUGUAAAUAUAAUUCAUUAAUCGUUAUUAAUAAAGUGUUAUUAUUGUAAUAAUUGUUAUUGAUUAUAUUGUUAGUUUUGUCUUAAUAACACAAAUCCAAUCAACUAACAUCCUAAGUUAUUUAAUGAGUCUUGAGCAGUAUGUAGAGACAUACAAGGAUCAAUGUUCGAAAUCAGCUUAAAGAGUCUAUAGUAUAAGAAAAGAUUGAGUGCCUUAUCCGGCUCACUUUGUAUUUGAUGCAAACGCAAUGAUCCAUCACGUUCGGGUAGUUGACAUGCGAAUGAGGGUAUCAUAUGUAAUGAGUUUGCAUAAGAUCAGACCGCGAAAUAGUAACCACUAGAUGUAACUCCAUUAACUAACUAGGUUUCUAUUUUACUAGGAUGACCUAGGUAACUAAAUCUUAAUCCUCAGUGUAUUAUGAGCUCCUGCUUGCGAGGGAUUGUCCUUUGAUUUGUACGAGUGAGAGUGGUCAGAUCACCAACUCAAUAAGCUUAUCAUUUUGGGGACAAGACUGAGUGGAGAGCUAGGAACAUAAUUACACAAUAUGAAAUUCACUAUUUCCUUACUUUAGGGUAAGUAGAUGAGUGUUCCCUUAAAUGGUGUCUCCAGGUUUUGAACAAAGGGCCCUACCCUCUCUAUGACACGAUAGGGGUUUUUGUUUAUUGAUAGGACCAUAAACAAGUUGUUCAAUAGAGGAGCACUGAUAUUUAAGGAUUAGAGGUAACCUAGGGGUAAAACGGUAAAUUGACCCAACUGGUGUUACAAACAAUCGUGGAAGACUAACUUACUGUCAUUGGUCUAUAUCCGUGGACACAUAAAUAUAUCUACAGUGAGAAGAGUUCAAUUGUGAGUCUUUAGUGAAGUAUACAUACAAUUAACAAAUAUUGAUUAAUAAUGUGGUUAAUGAGUUUAGUCAAUUAAUCUCAGGUUGUUGUAGCUUCUGAUUUAUAGGUCUAUUUAGGUCUCAUUCCUAGCUCAUAAAGGGCAAUGAGAUUUAUUUAUAUUGGUUGUAAUUUGAAAUCUUCAAAUCUACUUUAGGAAUUAGUUUAAUAUAUAGUGAUAUAUUAUAAUAUAAAGUUUAUCAAACUAUAUUAUAUAAAUUUAAUUUUGGAUAUGAUUCAAAAUUAAUUUAUGAGAGAGAAAAUAUUUGAAUUAGUUCAAAUGUUAAUUUAAUGUGAAUUGGAUUCAUAUUAAAAAUUUUAAUUAAGAAAGAAACUUAUAUUUGAAUAUGAUUUAAGUUAAAUAUAAGAUAUUUAAUUUAGCUAUAAAUUAAUUAAUAGUUUUGUUUUAUUUAAUUAAAUCUAUAAGAUAUUGCAAAGAUAUUUAUUCAGAUAAGAUUGGAAUGAAAUAUUAAUUAAAUAUGAUUUAAUUAAUUCAUUAAUUGUUAAUUAAUUAGUAGAUUUGAUAAUAGAAUCUUAUGAUUCUCUUCUACUCCUCUUCUUAUUCCAAAAAGGAAAUAAAGUUAUAAAUAUCUAGAAGAAUACAGUUUUCUUUAACAAAUUCAUCAAAAAAGGAAAGUGAAGGCUUUUGUUUUACAUAAAUAAAAAAGUUUCUCUCAACUACCUUUAAACAUUUUUUCAUUUCAACUGGUUCCCACAAACCAAUCUCAUCCUAGAGGAUAGAAAGAUCUCCGACGAGUGGUGUCCCAAGCCGGUGGUUUGCAUAUUCAAAAACAUCAAGAAAAGUAAGUUAUCUGUAUCUUUUAUUUAGACUUUUGAUUAUAAGAUUUUGCCAAUGUACUGGUAUUUUAAGAUUCUCAAAUUAAUUUGAGAAAUAGUUCUGUAAAAUCUUCCACUGUCAUAGGGCUUUUAUCCUUUCACUCUCUGACAUGGCUUUCUGCAUCGAAAGAGAGACUAUAACGCCCCAAUAUAUAUAUAUAUAUAUUUAUUUAUUUAUUUAUUUUAUUAUUUAAUUUAAAUAAAAGAAAAGAAAAAGAAAAUUUUCCCUUUUCUCUUCCCCUCUCACGCGUGCCCUUCCCUUAUUCUUCAUAUUUUCUUCCUCUUUUCUUUUCGUUUUCUACAGCAGCCUCACGAUCCUCUUCCCUUCCGUUCGCCGCAGUCCAGCCGCCGCCCCUUCUUCUCUUUUCUUCCUCUUUCGUUCGACGUCGACGGUCAGGCCAAGCCAAACCGCCGCUGCAACCGUCGGCCGCCGUCUCUGUUCGCGAAGCAAGGCCGCCGCGUGACCUUCCGCCCAGCACCGUGUGACCCUCUGUCCAGAUCUGCACCGCUAGAUCGAGCCGUCCACCGGGUUCGUCUGUUUCUGUCUCCGUUCACCGAAGCCGAACCCAACCGCCACCCAUUCUUUUCUUCUUCGAUCCAAAAACUGCCGCUGCAACCGUCAGCCGCCGCAUGACCACUGCCCAGCGUCGUGUGACCCCCUACCCAGCCCCGCUGCGUGUCACAAUCGUAGUCCUUCAAACACGAUGUGAACGAUUGCGGCACUUGUUCUAGCUCGACGAACAAGUCAGCCGAUCAAAAUCCGCAAUUCGCGGACAACUUUAACACAUGCUUCAACCUCCCCUCACGUUCUUGGAAAAUAUUUUUAGAAAACGUGAAAGAUGAUUAAAUUGAUUGAAAACAUUGUUAAAACAAGCAUUGAACACUGUCAAUUGCAAUAAGAAAGCAUAGGUUGCAAAGAGUACGACAAGGCUUGGGCGGGGAUUCAACAAGUAUGACUCCCCUAUAGUACAUUUUUAACUUUUUCAUCUCUGGCAGGCUUGCAUAUGCAAAAUGCCGAAACGUCACACCCAAGCAUAUCGACUCGAAAUUGAAAGCAACUACCUAAACUACAUACAAGACAUAAAGACAAGAUAAAUUGGGGCUAAUCGGAGCAUACGGCCAUAGGUAACACACCUUGGACAAGUAUGUCCGUUACAUUCUCCCCCACCUAAACAGUUGACGUCCCUGUCGACUGGUGCAGCUUGAACUCCUCGAUCUUCUGCGCCUCGGCUUCUAGGUCUUCGACACGUUCCCAACUGGUUUCUUCCACAGGAAGGUUCUUCCACUUUACCAAGUACUCGUGGAUCCUUCUUGUUGGUCUUCGGCCCAUCCUCACUCGUUCGGCCAAGAUUUCUUCAACUUCUUUACUCUCCUUUUGGCUGAGGUUGAUGGUCGGUCGGGCUAUGGCAUUACGUUGCAUGUCAUCAGGAUCUUGGUAGUAGGGCUUCAAGUUACUCACAUGAAUUACUGGGUGGAUUUUCAUCCAUGUGGGCAACGCUACUUUAUAAGAUGUGUUCCCUACCUUCUUCAGCACUUCCACUGGUCCCUCGUACUUUCUUACGAGGCGUUGGUCCUUGCGUCCUCGGAACCGAAUCUGUCCUGGUCGUAACUUAAUGAGAACCUGAUCUCCGACCCGCAACUCUAGAGGGCGGCGCUUCUUGUCUGCCCACUUCUUCAUCCGCUUCGAGGCUUUCUCUAAAGAGGCUCGAGCGAUGUCUGUCGUCUGCUUCCAUUCUCUGGUAAAAUUGUGAGCUUGAGGGUUCUUCCCCGCAUAGGGGUGAUCAACAAGGUGUGGCAGAACCGGUUGCCUUCCGCAAACAAUUUCAAAAGGGCUCUUUCCAGUUGACGAGCUUGUCUGAGCGUUAAAGCAAAAUUGGGCGACAUCCAACAACUGAGACCAAUUUCUUUGCCUCGCGGUAACCAAAUGGCGCAAGUAUUCUUCGAGCAUACAGUUGAACCGCUCGAUCUGACUGUCCGUUUGGGGAUGGUAACUUGAGGACACAUUCAGGCUUGUCCCUAAGAAAGUGAAUAACUCUGUCCAAAAGGUGCCAAUGAACCGUCCAUCUCGAUCACUCACAAUGCUUGUUGGUACGCCCCACAAUUUCACAAUAUGUUUAAAGAAUAGUUGAGCUGUUAACUCCGCCGAACACUGCUUCGUAGUGGGAACGAAAGUGGCAUAUUUCGAGAAUCGAUCUAUGAUGACUAAUAUAGUCUCAUAGUCGCCUACUUUUGGAAGAUGGGUGAUGAAGUCCAUAGAAACACUCUCCCACGGUCUCGUUGGCACCUGUAGAGGUUCGAGAAGCCCCGCAACCUUUGCCUUCUCAACUUUGUCUUGUUGACAGACAAGACACGUCUUCGUGUAAUGCAUGACGUCGUCCCUCAUACGAGGCCAAAAGUAUCCUUUCUUCAGCAAGGCGUAUGUCCUCUGCCAUCUGGGGUGGCCGGCCCACAGAGGGUCGUGACACUCGUGUAGUAACUUCUUCCUCAGGUCUCCUCCCCUAGGGACAUACAACCGUCUCCCCUUCGUCACUAACAGCCCAUCUUCAACCCAAAACUGCCUUGUUUUACCUGCCUCAGCUAAACUCAUGACACUUCGAGCCGCAGAAUCCUUCUGUAAGAACUCCCUCAAGACAUCGCGCAUAGGGCCAUCAAUCUUGCUUGUGUAGAGAUGUGCUAACAUGCACAAAGCAGCGUGGUCGCCUCUUCGACUAAGCGCAUCAGCGGCCUGAUUGCUCACCCCCUUUUUGUGUUCAAACUCAAAGUCAAACUCAGCUAGGAAUUCCUGCCAUCUAGCUUGUUUUGAAGUCAACUUCGGUUGCGUAAAGAAGUGACAAGUAGCACUAUUGUCCGUCUUCACAACAAAAGUUGCCCCCAAUAAGUACUGUCUCCAGGCCCUUAAGCAAUGUACUACGGCAAGCAUUUCUUUCUCGGACACAGUGUACCUCCUCUCCGCGGCAUUCAGUUUUCGACUCUCAUAAGCGAUGGGAUGUCCAUUCUGCAAGAGUACACCACCCAAUGCAUAAUCAGACGCAUCGGUCUCUACUUCAAAAGGUCGGGUCACAUCUGCGAUUCCCAAAACUGGCCCCUUGACCAUAGCUUUCUUCAGUUCGUCGAAGGCGGCCUGACAUUCGAGUGUCCAAUUCCACUUAUUGUCCUUCUUCAGCAAGUCAGUCAGCGGGCUUGCUCUUUUAGAGAAUCCUUCCACGAAUCGCCUGUAAUAAUUGGCUAACCCGAGGAAGGAGCGCAAGUCGGUGACUGACCUUGGUACUUCCCAAUCACGAAUCGCAACGAUCUUCCCUUCCUCCAUGCUGAUUCGACCACAUUCAAUCACAUGACCCAGAAAAUUGAUCCGCUCUUGAGCAAAGGAACACUUUUCCCUCUUGACAUACAGUUGGUUCUCCUUCAGCUUCUGAAAAACCCUUUUGAGGUGGUCCUUGUGUUCUUCUAGCGUGGAGCUAUAGACCACUAUAUCGUCCAGAUAGACCACCACAAACUUGUCAAGGUAUUCAUGGAAGACCUGGUUCAUUAGCGUACAAAACGUUGCAGGCGCAUUGGUAAGACCAAAUGGCAUGACAAGGAACUCGAACGCCCCAUACCUCGUAACGCAGGUGGUUUUGGGCUCAUCCCCUUCGGCAAUUCUUACUUGAUAAUAGCCCGAUCGCAGAUCUAGCUUCGAGAAAUACUUUGCUCCAUGAAGGCGAUCAAAUAGGUCGUUGAUUAUUGGUAGCGGAUAUCUGUUGCGGACCGUGAUCUUGUUUAGGGCGCGGUAGUCGAUGCACAACCGCAUACUUCCAUCCUUCUUCUUUUGGAAAAGGACUGGAGCUCCAUAUGGAGCUUUUGCAGGUCUCACAAAUCCUGCGUUCAGCAGUUCGUCCAGUUGUUUCCGAAGUUCGGCCAACUCCGGCGGCGCCAUACGAUAAGCAUUCUUCGCAGGCGGUUUUGCCCCUGGCAGCAGUUCAAUCUCAUGGUCAAUCAUUCUCCGCGGAGGCAAUGAUUUCGGCAGGCUGUCUGGCAUCACAUCCUUGUACUUCUCUAAGACACUCAGGAUGUCUUUGGGGACUGUUUCCCUUGAGCUUUCCAACGACUCCAAUGGGAUAGCCAUAAAGGUUGGUUCGUCACGAGCGAGGCCUUUCUUCAACUGCAUAGUCGAGAUCAUCUUUAUCCCAUCUGGUUGACGAAUCUCCGUUUGAACAACAGUAGGCGUUGUUCCAGUAAUCACUAGACAUUUGGCUAGCGGCAUUGGUAUGACUUGAUGCUAGAGUAGAAACUCCAUACCCAGUACCACAUCGAAAUCAUCCAUCUUUGCCACCACCAAAUCUAUGAGGCCGCUCCACUUUCCCAUCCUUAUGGUCGUUCGUUUUACCAACCCAAUGAUAGGUAGGGCAGCUGAGUUCACGGCCUUCAUUUUUCCUGCGUCCUUCUCCCAAUGGAGAUUCAGCCGUCUGGCUUCUGCCUCUGCAAUGAAGUUAUGGGUGGCACCAGAAUCCACCAUAGUACUCUUGGGUGGCUUCUGGUUGACCCAACAGUCCACAUACAUGAGACCAUUCUUUGCUUGUCCACUAGUCUCCCCCAUCUUCCUCUGGAGCGAUGACAGAAACUUUAGGGCCCCCAUCCGAGGAUUCUCACCCUCUUCUAUCUGUCCAACGUCUCCUUCCGUCUGACUCAAUUUAUCGUCUGAGUCUGAGGCUAGGGUGGCUUGAAAAGCGUUGAAGGCGGUACGGUUGAGGCACUCUCUGGCAAGAUGGGGCCCUUUACAUAUGAAACAACUGAUGGAACGACCGGAGUUGUUCUGAUUGUUUGGUCCUCGCCAGUUGUUUCCUGCAUUCGCUUGGAAGGGCCUGCGAUCUCCACCUUGUCGCUUGUCUCCCCCUGCAGUCUUCGGGGAAUUUGGGCGGUUGUUUCUGUUUCCUCCAGGUGAGGAAGCUUGAUGCCGUCUUGCAUCCUGGGAUUCGCUAGAUAAGUCAAACAACCGUUCAGCCACUGCGUAUGCUGACGUGAGGUCUUGAAUUCGUUGCUCAUACAACUUGGUCCUAGCCCACGGCUUCAAGCCCUCGACAAAACAGAAAACUUUGUCUUUCUCGGUCAUGUCGCGUAUGUCCAACAUCACCCCCGCAAACUGUUUCACGUAGUCCCGAAUGUUCCCCGUGUGCUUCAAUUCACGCAGCUUCCGUCGGGCUAGAAUUUCGACAUUCUCAGGGAAAAAUUGCGAACGAAGUUCUCCUUUUAGGGCAUCCCACAUGUCGAUUGUGCAACGCCCUUCUUGAAUGUCCAUGUAUCGAGACCUCCACCAUAACUUCGCAUCUUCUGACAGAUGCAUGGUUGCCAACGUCACCUUGGCCUCUUCAGCAAUUGUGUUCGUGGCUUUGAAAUACUGCUCGACAUCAAAGAUGAAGUUUUCCAAUGCCUUGGCGUCUCUCGCCCCACAGAAGGGCUUGGGCUCAGGAACCUUGAUCCUGCCCACAGGAAUGGCUCCUCCAGCUGGAGCCUGGUUUGCUAGUGCUCGCAUAGUAAGGUUCACUCUCGUGUUUACCUCUGCGAGCUCAUUCCUCACGACAUCGAGGGUUGCUCGAAAAUCCUCUGUCAUGCCGUUGAUCAUCUCCAACAUGUUCUUUUGCGAGUUAUCAAGCUCCAUAACUCGUUCUUCCAUCUGGGCAACAGAGCCCGAUGAACUGUCCCCACGCUCGUAGGUGACAUUUCCCGUUCUCAAAACUUGGGACUCUAGAGUGUCGACUCUAGUCAGUAACUCUUGGAUGGGUAGUCCGUCAAGGCGACCGGACACGGCUUCAAUGCCACUAGCUUUCAUGGCAAUAUCCUCAAGCCGUUGUUCCAAGAACCGGAUGGAAUCAGGAACUUCCACCAGGUAGAGCAUCUGCUCUUCGAUUCCCAUAAGUCGUUCAUUAUGGGUCUUGCUAGACUGUUUCGCUACCGACAUCUUUCUAUCACGCACCGUCAACUAGCCAACUUGGCUCUAAUACCACUUGUCACAAUCGUAGUCCUUCAAACACGAUGUGAACGAUUGUGCGGCACUUGUUCUAGCUCGACGAACAAGUCAGCCGAUCAAAAUCCGCAAUUCGCGGACAACUUUAACACAUGCUUCAACCUCCCCUCACGUUCUUGGAAAAUAUUUUUAGAAAACGUGAAAGAUGAUUAAAUUGAUUGAAAACAUUGUUAAAACAAGCAUUGAAGACUGUCAAUUGCAAUAAGAAAGCAUAGGUUGCAAAGAGUACGACAAGGCUUGGGCGGGGAUUCAACAGGUAUGACUCCCCUAUAGUACAUUUUUAACUUUUUCAUCUCUGGCAGGCUUGCAUAUGCAAAAUGCCGAAACGUCACACCCAAGCAUAUCGACUCGAAAUUGAAAGCAACUACCUAAACUACAUACAAGACAUAAAGACAAGAUAAAUUGGGGCUAAUCAGAGCAUACGGCCAUAGGUAACACACCUUGGACAAGUAUGUCCGUUACACCGCGCAACCUCUGUCUCCGUCGAAGCCGAGCCCAACUGCCGCCCAUUCCUUUACUCUCCGUUCGUGAAGCCCGAUCGUCGCGUCAGAUCGUCGAUCGAUUUUGAGGCAGCGCGCACGUCUCCUUCCAGCCGCAAUUCACAACCGACGUACACUCUAAUCUGUUUGUACGAUCUUCGUUGUUAGGUUCGAUCAUCGCUGCCGCCGUUUUUGUUGUGAGUUCUCUGAUAAGUAAAAUUGAUAGUUUCUGUUUGAUGGAUUGUUAAGAUAAAAUAUCAAAUGAAACGUUUGAUUGAUACUGUUUUGAAGGUGUUGGAAGUGACAUUGGGUCCUUCGUGUUCAUAACCGAAAUUGUGAAUUUUGGAGUUUGGCUCGCCAAUACUUCGUAUUUUUCGUGGAAUAUAGUUUGUUUAAGAAGUUGAGCAACCUUGAGGUAAGGGAUUUUAUUUUCUACUGGACUCACCUAUGCUUGUGAACUGUAUGUCUGUAUGGUUGUCUCUGACUGAGUAAAGAUGUUGAGCUGAUAUAUAUAUACACAUGUAUGGACGUAGAUUUGAUGUUGAAUGUAUACUGUGGAAUGACUGAAAAUAUAUAUAUACACAUGGAUUGAAGUAGACUUGAUGUUGAAUGCAUAUUGUGAUUGUCUUGGAAUUUAUACAUGUGUGUGUGGAUGUAGACAGGACGACAAUUGUAGAUUGUGUUUGUAUGAGAUGCGGAUGUGAAUUUGUGAUUGUCGUUUAGACUAGGUGUACGUUACAUUAAAGUAUGCCUGUGUACUGGUGAAUUGAGGGAUGUUAUGACCAUAUAGUUUGAUUGACUGACAUAUUAGUAUGUUACUGACGGACAUUGGGCUAAAGUGAGAUAAGUUGACUGUUAGAACGUUGAGUGAAAGAACUUUAUAAUUUUAAGUAACUGAAAGAUGGUUCGAAUGGAAUGAGGGGAAAAAUUGUUAGCUUUUAUUGGGAUGUGUGCCUUGUAGGUGUCCCACAGGAUCACCAAUUAUUCUGCACCUUCGGGAUGCAUUAGACUGAUAUGUGUUUCUGCAGAACACUAGACUGAAAUGUACGUCCCUUGGGGUGUUAGACUAAAAUGUGCAUCCUACGGGAUCACAAGACUGCAACUGUACCGGGUGUCCCAAUAGAAUGUUAACAAUUUAUUAUUCCCCUGACGGGACCAGUAGAGAGUCUCUUACUGAGUAUUUUUAUACUCACCCUUCUUAUGUUUAAUUUUCAGGCAAAGGAAAUAAAGGUGGCAAACCGGCGAGGGGCAGGAAGGAAGCGUGAUUGCCAUAGGAAACGUGUUAUCUUGCUUCCGCUUAUUGUUUCUUUUAAGGUUUAAAGAUGUGGUAUUGAAACUUAGCUUACAAACUUCUAUUUGUAAAUAGUACUUUUUUUUUUAGUUUUUGAAUGUUUGAAAAUCAGGCAUGACUUAAAGUUGUUUUUUAAAUUGGCUUACGUUUCAUUUUGUAUCAACCAAUGUCUUUUGUCAAAAUUUAAUGACCUCGACUUACUUAGAAAAGUUGGGUCGUUACAGAGACAUUUCUUAUGCAUUUUGUGAUUUUUGCCAGAUAACCAUUACUUCUUCUAGUGGAAAAUGCCAGUCAUUUACUUGUCCUUAGAGGGUUGUCUAGUCUUGUCAACAGAACACUUACUUCAUCGCAAGAUACUGAGGCCUAGGUACUUCUCUCUACCUUACUACCCCCUCGCUUAUUACUUAGCAUUAAGCGCUUACUUCUUCUUCAUCGGUUAUUCUCAUUGUGUCGCUCCUUUAACGCGAUGGCACUUAGACUCAAAUAUUUCUCUUCACAUCACUUUAUUCUCUCAUCUCCAUAUAUAACAGCAUUUUUAAAAAAAAUUGCAAAUAUAGUAAAAAUUUGUCAAAAGCGAUCACUUAUACAAUAUGUUGCAAAUUACUAGUUUAUCAUUGAUAGAUAAGAGUCUAUCAAGAAUAAAACACUACCACCAAUAAACUUUACUAUAUUUGUAAUUUUUUUAAAAUGUUGAUAUAUACCUAAUUAUUAUUUCUAAAAUUGCUAUAUGUUACAAUAACUCUUUAUUUUUAUUUUAUUUUAUUUAUCUUUAAGCUUCAACAAUUUUUUCAAUGCUACAAAAAGUAUGUUUUGCUAAAAAAAAUCAAUUUUUUAAAGUUAUUUCUCUUUUUGUUUUUCAAUUUGUUCCUUUUUCUUUUAAUACUUUUUCUUUUUGUGCUUUUGGUAUUUUUAACUUUUCAAAAAAAUUCUUUCAUAAGAUAUUUUUCUCUCUUUUUUCUAAGUGGGAAAAUUAAAAAAGUAAACUAAUUUAUUAAUUAGUCAACCAAUUAUCAUGUUAGAAUUACUUUUCCAUGUCAGAUUUAUAUGUUAGAUUUAUCCGUUAGAGGCAUUUUAAAAAACAGGACAAGACGCAAAAUAUUUACACCGUAUAGAAUAAUUUUAAAAAAGAAAAAAACGUACAACGUAAAAUAACAAAAAUAUUCUACGAUUAAUCGACCACACACGUGCAAAAAAUGAUUUUGUAUCAAGUAUAAACGAUCAUGUACAUAGCCUAAACGAUCUUGUACCACAAUCUAAAUAUUCUUGGUACAUGAUCUUGUACCAAAUCUAAAAGAUCGUUUGAAUAUAUCAUUUAUCUAUUAGUGAUAGUGGUUUAUCUCUAUCUAUCUUAGAUAGACGAUUGAUCAUUUAGAUACAGCAUACAAUUGUGUAGUGAAUGUAGGAAAAUAAUUAAUCAAUAAAUUAAUUAAUGAAACCCGCUUUAACAUUAAAAGUUAAUUGUAUCAUGAAUUUAAUUAACGAAACAUUUUUAAAAAUCUCCAAAACAAUUUUUCUUUUAGAAAGAAUUAUUAUAAAUGACAAAACUAUUAAAAAUAGUGGUAAAAUUUAUAAAUAUAAAUAUUUGUUAUACUUUGAUUCAUUUGACUAUAUUUAAAAAUAUUCCAAUUAAAAGAAGUCAACCCUGAACGAAUAUCACGUGUUAGUUUAAUGGACACAAAAAGUGAAAUUAUUUGUUUCACAAAGACAACACAUAACCAUGAACUUUGAAAAAGAGAAAAGAAACAAAAAAAAGUUGAUUUGAAACUAUAUCUCGUAAAUGAACAGUGUAUUAUCAUCGAUCCCUCGUUUUAGUUCACAACCUUUAAGUCCAAACACAAGAUUCCUAGAAUAUAUAUUAAACCACACACAACUAUAUAAAUACCAAACUCGUAAUUAAAGUAUUCAUAAACAAAUCAUAGAAUUAAAAGUAUUACUACAUACACAAUAUGGGUAGAGCAGAACCAAUUAAGGAUGUGAAUGACUCAGAAGUGAAAUUUGCUGCAGGGCAAGCAGUUAAAAUCCAUAACGAUCAAAAACACGAUACAUUGGUUUUCAUUCGUGUAGUGAAUGGUCUGAAGCAGGAAGUUGAUACUGCCAAGCUGUAUUCUCUUCUGAUAGAAGCUACAAAUGGUGAUGGAACUCAUUGGGGAUAUAUCGCUAAGAUUAAGUUGUGGCCUAAGGCCCCAAGUCAUUAUGAUCCAUAUUCCCAUACCUUUGAGCUCAUAUCUUGGGAAGAUCCCCUCAAAUUCUGGAACUAAGUAUUCCAAUGUUAUCUUUUUACAUCUUUACAUCUUUACAUCUUUACAUCAUAAUAAUAUGUCCUUCUCUAUAUAUAGAGAGAGGGCAUUAUUGUCUUCCAACUACUAUAUGAAAAUGGUAUAGCCUUGAUUAAAUAGUGAUACACAUAAUCUAUUUCUAUAUAGUAUAUGUGUGUCCAUAUAUAUAUGUUUAACUUUUUCUCUUCUCUCUCCCAUCUAUGUUCUAUGUAUGUAAAGAGUUUAAAUAAGACUAAAUCAUUAAAUAGUCAAUUUUACUUUAUAAUUUGUCGUUUACUGUUUUAAACUGAUUAUUUCGUUUUAUUUAUGACAUGGGUAACUUAAGGUGUGUUUGGAUUAUCUUUUAAAGUGUUUAAAUUUGAAAAAAAAAAUUAAAAAUUUGAGGUGUUUGGUAACUUUUCAAAAUGUAUUUUUAAAAAAUGAGAUUGAAAAAUAAUUCAUUUUAAAGAAAAUGCUCAAAACCAAAUUUUGAGAAAACUAUGUAUAUAAACUCUUAUAAAAGGAUAGAACCAAACAUGUAAAUAUUUAAAUUUUAAACUCAUUUUAAGGAAAGUGUUUAAAAAUAAUGUAUUCUUGAAAAAUAUUUUUUUUCCAUAGGUAAACCAAACGCACUCUUAAUCUUAAUUUUAACUUAAUGAAUAAGAUGUAAUUUCGAGGGUAAAACGAUAACCUUGACUUAGCCGAUAUUUCGAAUAACCUGUAAAAGAUUAACUUACUAAUCAUAGUUAUUUCAAAUGGACACAAAUAUAUCUAUAGUAAAGGAACUGAAACUAAGAAAUUUUAAUGGAAUGAUCUAGUUAGUUAACGAAUGUUAAUUAGCUUAUUCUAAAAGAAUUUAGCUAGUUAAUCUCGAAUCGAUGAAGCUCGUGAUCUAUAGGUUUAAUAGGUUCCCUAAUAGCUCAUAUGGAAUAAACUUAGAACAAUAUGAUUGAAUAAUUUGAAUUGUUCAAAUUGGAAAAUGAGAGAAAAAUUGACAAGUAUAUGUGAUAUAGCAAUCAGUCACUACUAGAAAACUGAGAUUUAACAACACAAAAUAUGUGUCAUAAACGGUUUUCAUGUCACAUAUUUUGCAUCUUUGAAGUGCUUGUAAAGAUAGGACAUUUACUGACGCAUCCUAAAAAGUGUCAUUAAUAUUGCUUAAAACGAUAUUGAUUUAACGCCAAUAAUCAAUUUCUCUUGACAUUUACCACCUAUGACUAUUAAUUGGAUUAUGAAACAAUGAAAUUGUCAUUGUUAGUCUCAAAUGAUCAAAUAUUGCGUCUAUUUUCUAUAUUAGGGCUACAGGUUUAAUUUGAGAGAGAGAGGGAAGGUUGAGUUUGAGUUGAGAGAAGAGAGAAAUGUCAUUCACUGGAGAAUUCUGGGCAAGAUGCAUUCAUAGAGGGCUAUAGAACUCGUUUCUUGGAUUUUUUUUUUUAAAAAAAUUGAGGUAUGAAAGUUAAGACAUUUUCCAGCAACUUUGUACAAGAAAGUAUUUUCAUUUGAGUUUUUCAUUUUAAGAUAUUGGCUUAUAAAUUAUAGUUAAGGUUUUAGCCAAAAAUGAGUUUUUGGACAGUAGAGGUUGUUAGUCGAAUGUCAGAGGUUGUUAGACAAGAUGGACAUGUGUUUUGGGUUAAAAGAGGUUAGCGUUGCGUUUAGGCUGGUGUUUGGCACACAGUCUGUGUACAACGGGCGUGCAGCUAAGGAAGCACACAAGGAAGGCUAUGUGAGACGCUGACACACGACCAGGUGAGGUACCCACGUGUUUAUGGGUGAGGUUAACACGCGGGCAUGCCUAGCGCGAACGAAUCGAAACUCCAGUUUCUAUAGUUUUAAAUCAAGAUCCACGAUCUACUUAAAAAAUUUGGCCAAAGUUAUAGGAAGCCUUAGAAACCAAAAUAAUUUUAGCACCACAUUUCAUCCAUAGACAGUGGCCAAUCUAAAAGAACUAUUCAGGCAUUAGAGGACAUGUUAAGACCUUGUGUUCUAUAGUUCAAAGGGAGCUAGGAUGAUUGAUUGUCCUUGAUUGAGUUUGUCUAUAACAACAACCCCUUUUAAGGCGUUGUAUGGGAGGCGUUGUAGAACUUCAAUACGCUAGAAAGAAGUGGGCGAGAGGAAGCUCUACAGUCUAGAGUUAGUCUAGGCCAUAACGAAAAACAUCAAAUUAAUUAGAUAAAAUUUAAAAAAUUUCCGCGAUAAGUAGAAGUGCUAUGUGGAUAAUUGUCGUAAAGCAUUGGAAUUCAAGGUUGGGGAUAAAGUUUUUCUAAAAUUAUCACCUUGGAAGGAUGUGAUCAGGUUAUAUUAGUCCACGUUAUAUUAGUCCUUAUGAGAUUCUAGCAAGCGUAGGACCAAUGACUUAUAAGCUAAGAUUGCCUGCAAAACUAUCUAGGAUUCAUAAUUUCUUUCACAUCUCCAUGUUGAGGAAGUAUGUAUCAAACUACUCGCACAUACUCUAAACUUUUGAAGUAAAAUAAAACUUGAACUACGAAGAAAGGCCUUUGUGUAUAAUGGACAAAAAGGAACAAGUCUUGAGAACAAAGGUGAUCCCCAUGGUCAAAAUUUUGCGAGACAACCAUGGCGUUGAAGAAUCUACUUGAGAAAGUGGGGAGCUAAUAAAAACCAAGUACCCACAACUUUUCGUACAAACUCACUGAAUUUCAAAGACGAAAUUUCAAUAAGGAGGUAGUACUUGUGAGACCAUAAACGUGUUUAGAUCUAUAUGAUGAGAUUAAAGCGAAAGAAACAAGUAAUGCAAUGAGAUGGGUACUAAUAAAGAACUCACGUGUUAUGAUGAGGUACGCGAUGAAAAAACGAUAUUGGGAUCUCCAAAACCUUUUAUAAAGACCUUGCUUGUUUAUUCUUUCCUCGCAUUGUGAUCUCCAAAACGUCAAGUAUCAAAACGCUCUCUUUUAUAAAAACUUCUUUUUUCAAAAUCCUUCACUUAGAUUUUUCUUUCUCAAAAUGACCCUUCUACUCAGGCACAAGUCUCACAUUCUAGGUUCUUUAGUUUUUUAAAAUAGGUUUGAGAGGUCCUUUAAUUAAUUUUUAUUUUAUUUUUAGUACUAGAAAGGCACCCAAGUUUUAGAAGGGUGUGGGAUAAACAAAUCUGGAUUUGUUGGUGUUUCUACGUCACUCGGCUUGGCAAGGAAUGGAGAGGAAUAAAAUAGUAAUAUACUUUUAUUAAAUAUGUAUUUUUUUAACUUAAAAUGUUUGUCCUUAUAUCCAACACUUUAUUUUCAAUUAAAACAACUUUAUUAUUCCUUAAUUAAUUAAAAAUUCGUUUCCAAAAUGAUUUUCUUAUCCAUUGAGGGGAGUUACAUAUGAUGAUCGUUAAGGCAUUACAUGAUUGAGACGUUAUCACAAAACUCACUCUAGAUAAGAGCUUGCCAAUAUAUGUUCUUCUUCGUUAUUUGCGUUUUUCGAGAAAAUCAAAUUAAAGAGUGUUUGGUAUUUCGAUCAAUUAUUCUAGUGUAGCUCUAAUUGAGUUGGUUGUUGUUUUAUCAUAGAGCGUCAUGACAUUUUUUGAAUUGUUUGCACUCUUAGCAGAGUUGCAAAAUGUCUUAAAGAAAGUCUGAUUCGUGACUUCAACCUUCUUCUUAAUUACUAUUUUCUUUUUUGCAAUAUUUUAGAAGCAUGCUCUAGAUGUCCAAACUUCCACUGGAAGAGCACCCAAUGUCAUUAACCUAGGCGAACAAAUAAUUACUAGGCGGUAAGAUUACCAAGGGACCAAAAUCCAAACUAUUAGAUUUCAACCAUUCUGUCAUAGGCUUCCAUAUUCAAGCUCCUACCUUCACUUCGAAAGCAUUGUUCCCAAGAACAGUUUCAACCAUUUUUUAUUUUUUUGAAAUGACCACUUUAAAAGAAAAACAACAACAACAUUUUUUACUUCUAAAGAUUGAACUAGCAAUGUAAUAUCGUAAUUGAAGAUGACUAUGUACAAAUUUGUUAAUAAUUUAAUUUAAUUUUAAAACAUAUAUAUAAUCAUUCAAAUGGUUUUAAUGCAAAUAAAAAUUCUCAUUUAAGUUAUUUAAGUAUUUUAAAGGGUAGUUUCUUUAAAUGGUAGAGAUAUUUAUUCAUCAAUUAAUUCGUCAAUUGAUAUGUUUAGAUAGUCAAAAUGUAAUUUGUCCUCAUGUCAAUCAAUUUGCUAUAUAUUAAAAGAGCACUGUGUGUGUAUAUAUAUAUAUUGAUUUAUUGAUUUUACAUAGAAAAGGAAAAUAUUGAUUUAUAAUCAAUUAGAAAUAAUACAAUAUAUAAAUCAAAUCCUUUCUCCUCAUUGCUCACUUUCUUUGGAUCUUUGGAGUUGCAUUGUUCUAUCGUAGAAGGGUUGCAAUGGUCUUGCAUUAGAAUCCGAGUCCUGUUUUCACAUAUCAAACCUUUCUUUUAAGUGGGUUAAGUAAAGUUUUUUUUUAUUUUACUAUCUUCUCCAAUUGAAAUAUAAAAUUCAUACCAAUUUUUACUUCCUUGAAGCUGUAAGAUUAUUCCACAAUUAUUAUUUUCUUUAUUCACAUAGGAUCUACUAAUUUAAUAAUGAAUUUCUCAAUUUUACAGAAUUUUGGCUACCUAGGCUUAUAGAAUUAUUUGGGAUGGCAGAUGAUCCAUUUAUUUUCUAUGGUGGAAAUCAAAAUUAAAGGAUUAAUUAUUUCAUCAAUCAAAUAACCACACGCUUAGGGUUUAGAAAAAUAAUAAAAAUCAUUCCAAUUAACUUACAUCAUGGACAGCCACUCGAAGUAAUUUUACUUGCUCUUCUGUAACAGUCCUCACCUAUUGAAAUCAUGUAGUUAGCAAUUAUAGUGCAUGAAUAUAUAAAUAUACUAUAUAAGUUUUAUUGUUUAAGCAAUUAGCUAAAAUCAGCAUAAUUGUUAAAAUUUUAGAAUAAUCCCAUAUAGGUUAUGUGUUCAAACAUUUUUUUCGUUUUUGUUUUUCAUUUUCAAACAAUAAAUCUACUUCCUUUCAUUUUUUUUACGAUUGCUUGUAUCAAUCUUAGUUGCAUUCAUAACUUAAUUCAAAAAAACAAAAACAAGCUUUUAAAUCUAAUAAGAGAUUCAGACGUGGAAGAGAAGGUGGUAAGGUAUGUUUUCAAAUAAAAGAUUAGAAAUGAAAUUUUAGUUUUUAGUUGUUUAUUUUCUAUGAUAAAAACAAAAAACCAUACAUAUUUGACAUAAUUAUUUCUAAUAUAUAUUGAAAUUUAGUAUUGGAAAAAGAAAAAUAAUAAUGUACCUGGUGAAUGAUAGUCCACAUAACAUUUUCAGUGCAUGGUGGAACAGUAAGUGAGCCAAUGUAUCUAUAAUAUUGUUUGCUACCCAUUUUCAAUAUAUUUGGAUCAAUUAUUCCAAUCACUCUCUCCUCUUCAUGUGUAUUUGAGGCCACUUCUAAAUCUUCUUCGAUCUGAUACCAUCACAAUAUUGAUCAAACAAUGUUUAUUAAUUCAAACCUUUUCCACAAAAUUUAGGCAGUUAUUGUGUGUUGUAUUUCAUAUUUUCAUAUAUAUAGUUUUUACCACGUACCCAAAUUGGGAUCUCGUUCAGAGACGCUGUAGCUGCCCUACUAAUAUCUAGGUUAAUAUAUAAAUAUUUUUAAAAGAAUCGUUUAAAAUUAUAAUUUUGACAAAAUAUUUAUAAGAUAUAGCAAAAUUUCAGAUUAUAUUAUUGAUAGACAUUUAUAUGCUUCUAUCAGUCAUAUUGAUAGACAAUCAUAAAAGUUUAUUAAGGUCAAUCUUUCAUAGAAUCUAAAAUUUUGUUAUAUGUUUAAAUAUUUUAGGUUAUUUUGCUAUUUUUAAAAAUGUCUCUUCUGUAUAUUUAUUAUUUUAUAAUAUAAUAUUAAGUAUGUAAUUUAUAAUUUUAUUAUAUGUACAUGUUUACAUUUGAAAAAAAUAAUAAAUGGAGUACUUUAUGACAUGAAAUACUAUAACUUUAUCUUUUUUUUCUAUAUUAUAAUUCAUUUCAAUUUUCAAAAUUUGAAUCAAAUAUAUAUUUUUUUCUAUAUUAUUACGAGUAUUCAAACCCAAUUUACCUGUCUUCACUAAAUUUUCAAGACACCCUCGUUUGACUCUACAAUAUUUAAAUGUCAAAAAACUCUAAACAAUGUUAGUUUAUUUAGAAUUUAGACGGUUAGAUCAUAGAUAAUCUAAAAACAACUAUUUGUCAAAUUUAUAUCCAUUAAGUUUAGUGAAUUUGAAAGAUAAAACAAAAUCUAAAUUGUUUAUCAACUAUGACGACUCAAUUAUGGAUUAAACAACUGACCGUUGAUAAGAAGUAAUCGGGUUCUCCAAUUUGAUACAAGAUUCCAAUGACAGAAAUCAUUCCAUUUGAGCUUUCAUGAACUAAGUGAGCUUCAAGAUCGAAAGUCUUGCCAUCAAUGGUGUGCUCAGAAGGUGAGUGCCAAUGACACUGUUUUAGUUUAUAUUGAGUUCCAUUCAUCUCCAUGUAUCCACCUCCAUCCACCCAUUUCAUCUGUAUAACCACAAAUACACCUUCUUUUUUACAUGCAGCAUAUAUGUUAUACGUAUAUAUAUAAUUCAUCGAUCAACCAUGAUUUUAAAAUAAUGAAUAGAAUCAUUUUUUUUUCAUUAAAUCAAAGUUAGUAUUAUUGAGUGAAAAAUCAACGUCGUGAAAGUGUAAGUCUCUUGAAGAUAAUAUAAAUCCAAUUGAAACAAAACUUAAAUUUUAAGGGUAAAGUUAUAAGUACUUUGAAAUCGAGAGACUAGAUUGAAAUCAAAAUCAAAACUUAAGAAUAAAAGUGCAACCUAUUUUGACACCUAUGAACCAAAUGAAAACUAGACCCAAUACUUGGGGAGAAAAAUGUGUUUUUUUUUUUAUUUGAAGUUACAAACGAACACAUAUGUGUUUAAUAUUAUUAUUUAAUAUCAAUCUAAUGAUUUAACAUACUUCUAUACGUGUCGAAGUAAGCAUAUAACUCAAUUUGGUAAUUGACGUGGUCUUUUUCAACCUCUAGGAUUGGAGGUUCGAUCUUUCAUAUCCAAGAUUAUCGUAUUAAAAAAAAAAACUUUUAUAUAAAGUUAUCGUACGUUAAAAAUUGAUUUUAGAUUAUUAAAAGCAUGUUUUAUAUAUAUAGAGAGAAUGAUUUUAUAUAUAACAAAAGUUGGUUUAAUCCUAGCUAGGAAAAAGGAAUUUAAUUACCAUCAUGUCAUGGCCUCUAUUCUUGAGUGUGGCAUUAGAAGAUUUGUAGUUGAUUUGAAGGUCUCCCAAAUGUGAAAUAACUUCAACUCUUUCAUGCAAUAGAUCAAUUGGAGAUUGCAUUAACCCACCCUUGCAUUUAUGCCACUCUGCUCUAAGCUCUCCCCAAUGGGUUGGUCCUUUUUCCCCAUCUCUUUCAUAAUCAAACCCUCUUUCAUUCUCUGCAUAAACAAUCAUAAUCCUUAAACAAAUAAUAUACAAUUUGAAGAAAAAAACUGAAUAAUCUUCAAUGCCAAAUUUAUACCAUAAUCUUAAAAUGUUAGAAAUGAUUUAGAAACAUUUUCUCUUAUAGGUGGUUUGACUCCUCCCUUUAUAAAUCUACGUUAACUCUUCCCAAGUAUUAUUCUCGUCUACUACUCAUAUCAUCAUAUUCAUAAAAAAAAAAAAAAAUUUAACAUUCACCAAGGAAAAGAGUAUAAUUGAAAAAUAUUUUAGAGUAUAAAACUAUUAUCUCUAUGUCAAAACUAAUAAUUGAUGACAUUGAGAGAAGUAGCUCGUACAAGUCCGUUAAAAAAGAUUGUGAGGUCUCUUUAUUUUAUAAUUUGAGAUGAUGGGAUACCCAUUUAGACUUCAUGAGCCUAAGAUAUCAUAUUAAAAAACAUGAGGUUUUAUCUCUAAAUAAGAAAUACAUAGUUCAUGAAAUCUCAUAAAUAUUGUGAGAUUCCCUAAUUUUUCGAACGGAUCUUUCAAUUACAACUGAACUAAAAUAUUUAAAGCAGGUUGGAGUGGAGAAAAAAAAAGUUCAUAAUUUGGGAGCUCACCAACUUCUUGGGAUGUUGCCUUUAAUGAAAACAAAAGAAGGGAAAAGAAGAUCAAAGAGCACAGGAUGUUUCCCAUGUUCUAACCUACUUUCUCUUUUCUCUAGAGAAUCUCUCUUUGUGAAAGUGUGGUUUAAGAAUAUGGGUUUAAGGUGUUUUUAAAGAUUAUUUAUAGCAUCAACUUACAAUGUGAAUAUAAUGCAAAAAGAAACAUUUGGAAACCUUAGCUUCAUUUUUCUUCAACUACUAUGUAUUUUCAGCAAACAACAAAGUUUGAAAUUUUCGAAGAAAAUAUGAACUUUACACCAAGAAAAAAGAAAAAUUGCAAUCAUUGAGUAUUUAAAGCAAAAGAAGUCCAAAUUCAGGAGGUUCCGUUUCAACAUUGUUUUCUCAUGUUCGUUUUAAAAAAUAUGCUUAGUAUCAGAUAUUUGAAUUAAUCAGAAGUUUCCCUAGAAUUUCUUGGAAUUUUUUUAACAGUCUCAAAAACGUUUAAAUUAAGAUGUAAUAUAUUGUCUUUUAACUUUUCAUUUCACUUUUAUGUCUAAUAGCUAAAUUUGAAAAUCUUAAAAUUUUAGUUCUAUUAAUUAAAUGUUAAUUUUCAUAAAUAUAACAAAAACACCCAAAUAUUUACGGUGCAGAUAACAAAAUAAAAAAAUCCAUGAUAUUUUCAUAAAUUUUAAGUUUAUCCUUGAAUAAUGCAUAUAAUUAUCACUUCUUUUUCUUAUUCUUAUUUGCAAUUUAUUCAUCUUUUUUUCAUAUUAUCACUUCUUUUUUAGAAUUUCUUCCUUAUGCUUCAUUUCUCAUCGAGAAUUUCUUCAUUCUUCUUCAUUUUCUUUUUUCUUUUCUUCCUUGCUACAAGAUUUAAAUGAUAUUGGUACAUGAUCUAAAUGAUCGUGUACCAAUGUCUAAACGAUUAGUUGUCUAUCUGAGAUAGACAAAGAUAGAUCACUAUCAUUAAUUGAUCAUUUAGAUUUUUGGUACAAAAUCGUUUAGACUGGGUACAAUAUCAUUUAGAUUUGAUAUAAAAUCGUUUAGACUAGGUACAAGAUCGUUUAGACUUGCUACGAAAUUGUUAAGAAUUGCUAAGAGAUCGUUUAGACUGGAUAUAAGAUCAUUUAGAUUGGGUACAAAACUAUUUUUUCACACAUGUGUGAUCGAUUAAUUGUGGGAGUAUUUUUGUUAUUUCAUGUUAUGGGCUUGUAGACAUUUUUCUUAAAAUUGUUCUAUACGUUGUAAAUACUUUCACGUUUUGUUCUAUUUUUUAAAAAACUCACUAAUAAAACUUUAAAACUUUAUUCGAUAACUAUUUGAUUUAACCAACACCAAACGCCAUUAAUGAAAUCUGAAGCGGCAAUUUAAAAGCCUCCUAUUUAAGUUAUUAAUUAAUUUAAAUAUUUUAAAAUAUAAAUUAAUUUAAUAAUCAAUCAUUUCAUCUUUUAAAAAUAAAAAGGAUGCUUAUAGGUUUAAUUAUAAAAUCUGAAAAGUCAAAUAAUUACUAACAAGAGAUCUAAACUUACAAUUUUAUACGUAAAAAAUCCACUAUUAGAUUCUUGAAUGGUUGAAAAUUCGAAAAUUUAGGCAAUAGAAGUUAAAAUUUUGAAAGCUCAUAAAUGACCAUCUUAGGUUUAAGACUAAACGUAUAAUUUAAUCCAUGCAUAUUAUUAAACUAAAUAAGAGAGAGAAUUAGUAAUUAAUUAUCUUCUUAAUAUUUGGUGUUGAAAGUUUAAUCAAAUUGCUAAUUAUAAAAAAAAAACAUAAUAAAAAUGAAAACAAAGUUUGGAGAUGAUGAAACAAGUUUUGACUAUAUGCACUCAACAAGAAAAUUGACCAAAAUCUUUGUACCAACUUUUCUUAAAAUUGUUGUCUAAAGUUGUGCAAUAAAUGAAGUCUUAGUACUAAUUUUGAAUAUCACAUAUUCAAUUCACCACCCUAUUUUAAUUUUAGUUUGAAUUUAAAAUUUACUCACACAAUGGUUAGGUUUGUUUUAAAUUUAGCUUUAAACUUAAAAAUAGGGAAAAUCUACCUUUUAUUUUUUUAUUUUUAUUUGAGAUUUGAAAUUGGUUUUUGAAGCUUUAAAACUAAUACUUGUUCUUGAGAUAGGGAAAAUGCUUUUAAAUUGUCCUUGAGGUGAUUUUUUAAAAAAAAGUUGGCAAAUUAUCAAUGAAUUAAGUAAUAUUUUCUUUACUUACUAAUUUAUUUUUAUCAAUUGAAUUAGGUUGAAUUUUGGCUUUCCCUCCCUCAUCUCCCCUCGUAGGAAAAAAAUUAAAGGCUCCUGCAAUAAUAGCAAAAGAAUUUAUGAUAAUAAGACACAUGUCACUAGAUUUUCUAAAUUAAAAAAAAGUAGAAAAUUUAAAAGUUGAUAACUCUAUCAUUACCGUCUCAUAGCUCUAUGAUUACCGUUUGAUAUUAUUAAUUUUGUCAUAUUUGCAAUAUACAAAAAAAAAAAAAAUUAUGUGCUAGUUUUUUUCUAAAUGUUUUUUUCAUUUAGUGAUAGGAUAUGAAACCGUGAGUAAUGAUAGAUUUUAGGUAUGCCAUUAAUCACUCUCAAGAUUCAAAAAUAAAAAUAAAAAAUAGUUAAAAACUAGGUUUAUAACAACUUUUUUUCAAUUAUGAAAAUCUAUUUUAGUUGUAACGAUAAUUGUUUCUUUUAUUACUGGUAAAUACGGUUUUAAAUUGGGCUAAAGAAACCUAGUUAUGAAUUUUUGCAUAAAUUUAAAAGUAUUUGUCAACAACCUCAAAGAAACUUUGAUAUGAAUCAAAUUAGUGUCGAGUAAAUUUCAAAUAUUUCCAUGUAAUUGAUCGAUAGAGAAUUCUAACACGCCCAUUGUUUGGUUGGAACAGACGACGAUUAUCUAUGCAUGUUUUUCUUUGAAUUUAGAAGUUUAAAUUUUCAAUUUUUUUUAUACAAAAACUAAAGUAAAUGAAGGAAUAAGCCCUGGUGGCAUGAUACUUGAAAAAGAAGCUAAGAAAAAAUGUCAAGUGAUGAGCGUAUCACGUGUGAAAAUUGCUAAGGAAAAAAAGACUUUAAAUGAUGCUAAUCAAUAUUUGCAUGAGAGAACUUAUCAAAAAUUUCAACUUAUUGCUAACAAUUUCAUUCCAUCUUUUCUUAUGUUUUUCUUCAACUUGUAUUCAAAUUUCCUAUCCAUUUUAACCUUAAUUUUAUUUAAUGUAGUUGGUAGCUUACAGCUAUGGAUGAAAAGAUUUUGACUUUCUUUUUUUUCUUUUUUCAACAUGUGUAUCGUGAGAAAUUCAAUUUUGACGAUGAUUUGUAUGUUUCAUCCUGAAUGAUUUUUAAAUGGUAGCAAAAAAAAAAAUCAUCUUCCAAAAUCAACUUUCAAAUACACUUUUGUUUAAUAUUACGGACUUUUGUUGUUUUCCAAAGGACUUUAAACAUGGUUUUAGUCGCUCGAAAUUAAUUUGGAUGAUCUAAAAUUCAUUUUGAAGACUUAAAAACAUGUUUAUUAGUGAUUUCGAAAAUGAAAAGUGUGAUUCUAGUAUGUUUAGAACUACUUCCAAAUAUACCCUUAACCACUCAAAAUUAAUUUUAUAUUUAAUUAUCAUUUUGAAAUGCAAUUUUUAUAUCAUUUAAAUUAAAUUUUAAUGAUUUCAAGAGGCGCGAGUAGUGAAUUUAUUUGAGGGUAGAAGAAUACAACGAUGCUUUAAGUCAUAAAGUGAAAAAGUGUAGAAACCGAUAAUUUUUAUAGUACUAUUUAAAUUGCCACAUAUGAAGCUACAAACUACAAUGAUGUAUUUAUAAUAGAUGAGGUUAACUUAGGUAUUUUUCUACUGCCUUUUGAAAUUCAACUAAUUAUUUAGUAACCUAAUGAAAUUCUAUGCAUGAUUCUUGGCCUCAAGAACAUGUUUGUACGAAAGUUAGGCUUCUUAGCCUCGAAAUUGGCUAAAGCGAAAAAAGGUUGGAUCGAGGGACCAACUCAAGUCUAUUGGAUUAAAUAAGCUCUUGGCCUCGUGAUGUUCACUAUCUUAAAGGUAAAGAAAUUCCAAAACAGUCGUAUAAUAAAGUUAUAGCCACACGCAAAAUUAUUUAGCCAAAUGAAAAUAAAGUAUAUAAUAUUGUUGGUACACGAUUGUUUAUAUUUUGUACAUAAUCGUUUAGAUUUUCUUUAAGCUUCUUGUGUUUAAAUUUUUUAUACACGAUCGUUUAGAUUUGUCUAACUAAUAUUCCAACUAUUUUUUUAGAUCUUUUAUGUUGACACAUAUUCUUGAACAACCAAAUAGUCUGAAAAAAAUAUAAAAAAUAGAUAUUUUAUAUUUUGUACACUGUAUUAAACCAAAUAACAGUUUAAAAUAAAAAGAAAAGAAAAGAAAAAUGGCAAAAAAAGACAAUGGAAAGAAAAAGACAAAAUUGCAUAAGAAAAAAGAUAGGAAAUAAGAAAAAGCCUGAAAUAUUUUCUAAAAAAAUAGUGUUCUCCAUAGCUUUUUGAUUUUGUUACAUUGACCGUAAAUAUUUUGGUGUUUUGUUAUAUUUAUAACAAUUAACCUACGAUUAACCACAAAUUCUUGAAAAUCCACCAUUUUAAUUAAAACCACAAAUCAUACGACUUAAUUUAAUUCUCAAUAAAACACAAAAAUCCAAAUACUCAAAUUAAUUAAAUAUUAUCCAACAAAUAUUUGAUUAAUUUCAAUUUUCACAAAAUAAAAAACUUCGCAUUCAAUUAACUGAAAAUAACACUCUAUAAAAGGGGUUUUUUAAAAAAUAUAACAAAUCGCUAAAAUAUUUACACAUUAUAAAACAAUUUCAAAAACGGAAAAGUCUCAAGCCCACAAUGAAAAAUACAAAAAUGUCUGUGAUUAAUUGACAUUAUGACGUAAUAUAUUUGGGAAACGAUCGUUCAGAUUUGGUUAUUCUUUCAUACACAAUCAUUUAGAUUUGGCUAUACAAAUGAGAACAAUUUUUUUAAGAUUCUUUGCACACGAUCGUUUAAAUUUGGCUAUUAUUUAGUACAUGAUCGUUUAGAUUUAAUCAUUUAAAAUUUGGGUAGCCAAAUCUAAAUGAUUUUUUCCAGUGUUUUUUGGUAUACGAUCGUUUAUAUUUGGCACACAAUUGUUUAUAUUCGAUCGUUUAAAUUUAGGUAGCAAAAUCUCAAUGAUUUUUUUGAAGAUUUUUUUGGUACACGACCGUUUAGGUUUGGUAGAGGAUCAUUUAUAUUUGGUACACGAUCGUUUAAAUUUGGCUACCCAAAUCUAAACGAUUUUUUAAGACUACACGAUCAUUUAGAUUUUGCUAUUUUUUUGUAUUCAAAUUUGAGAGCCAAAUCUAAAUGAUGUUUUUUUCGAGAUAAAAAAAAUUAAUUGAUCUUUUAUAUUUGGUACACGGUAGGUGAUGAAUUAAUGCAUGCUUGUGUGGAAAGUUUGUGGACAUUUUCUACUUGCUGAAACACGUGAGAUGUUCUUGAACUAUAAAGUUUGAUAUCUUAAAGGAAGUUUAAUUUUCAUUAGCAUCUUCUUCUUCAAUGGUUGGGUUGGAUCCUCGGAGUAACUUUGCAUAUUUGUGAGAGUGUUCAUGAAAAGCACUUGAAAAGAAUUUGCACCAUACAUUAGAUGCAUGUGUGGGAAAUUGUUGAGGAGAGUAGUAUCUUGUUUCUGUUUUCGUGAUAAUUAAAUUUGUUCUACUUAAGCCCAUCUCUUGCUCCUUGAUUUUGAAAUACUAAAUUCCUUUACUUGGAAUCACAAUGAGAUCAGGAUGAUUCUUAACGUUAGACACCUUUACUUGUAUUUAUGUUUGUGAUGUUUGUAUUUAUGUAUUUAUGCAGCAAAACUAGAAGCUAGAUUGAAUUCUUCUUCAUUUUCAUAUGGUUCCUUUGGUGACUAUGAAUUGAGUCAAAUCUAUGGUUAUUUGAAGAUAUUGAGUUAAAUUUGUGAUUAUUUUUGCUUGAAGCAAUGUCUUUUCUAGUUUUGAUUAGUCUAUAGAACUAGAUAAUCAUCUUUGCAUUUUAUGUUUUCAUCUUUCCUCUUCAUAUUAAGAAGAUCAAUGGGUUCUUUUUAAUUUUGUUUUCAUUUUUCCUUCAUUUUUAGUUUUCUUUGUUCAUUUUCUUUCUGUUUAUUGGACAGUUUACAUGGGACAGUUUAGUGCUUUAUUUUAUUUUCUAUAUAUAUUGUUUAUAUGUAUUAAAUUGUUAUAUCAUUGGGUUCAUUCACUUGUUCAUUGUUUGUAGGAAGUAUUUUAGAUCCACUGUGGCAUGUGAAAGAUUAGUAUCACUCACUUGUGGAUUGUUUGGUAGGAAGUUUUGUGGAAUGAUCCUUUGUAGGAUGACUAAGUGAAUUGAUUUAGGUGUACAAACUUUUAUACUUGUGAAUUGUUUUGCUUUGGAAAUGUUUUUUAGUCAUACUCUAAAAUGAGAUUUUGUUUUCUUACUAGGUUUGGAAUAAUCAAUUAGAGCAGUGAAACCAACUUAGAGCAAUUUAUUGAUAUAAGACUUUUUGUAGGGUCGGUAGUAAUUUUUCUGUUUCAGUGUACUUAUUUUAGGUUUGUUGGUAGCAAAAGAUGUCAUUGUUUAUUCUUUUUGUAUGGAAACUACAAUUUACCAACAAAUGGUUAUUAGUCAAUCUUAGUGUACAAAUAUUACAAAGUGUAUCAUAACGUAUAUGUAUUAAAGUGUUGACUCUUUCUUUUCAUAUGGGUGUGAUGUAUUAUAACAACUUUGUGAUUGAACUGGUUAGUAUAAUGGCAGAGCGGUAAGAAGAACCGGAAGUGUAUUUUAUUGUAUAAAAAUGUAGUAAUUGAGGAAUAUACGACUGAAAAAAAAUGUCAUAUUUUACUAAUUCGUGACAUUUUUUUUAAUUGUCGUCAAUAUUGAAACAAUGAUAUUUGAUUUUAUAAAAACUGUAUCACAAUUGGCAUAUCCUUGACAAGGAAAAAAUGUCAUGGUAUGCAAAUUUGUGACAUUUUGUAACUAUCAUCAAUAUCGAAACAAUGACAUUUGAUUUUAUAAAAACAGUCACAAUUGACAUAUCCUUGACAGGAAAAAAGGAUAUAUUAUACAAACUCGUGACAUUUUAUAAUUGUCGUCAAUAUGCAAAGGAUGACUAUUAUUUAUUGUCAUAACUCGACUCCUUGGCUCUCUGGCUCAUCGGGUUAGGCCUCACCAACCUGGGUAUUGCACUUGUAUUCCUUAUGAGUCGGGCCAUUCAUGCAAAGGAGCACUUCACUUACGAACUGGCUCCUUAAGCGUAUAAUGAGAUGCCAUGGUUAGCAUGUCGUAUAAGACUAGAGAGUAACUCUGGCUUUCCUUCUUAACUUGGCUACAACGUCUCCAAAUCAACCUUCGCAUGACUUCUACAUCUGACAAUCUAGAGAGGAAAAAACUUAAAACAUAAAUUAAACGAACUCAGAGAGAGAUGAUUUUGAGAAAACCUUUUUGAGGAACACACAUAAUUAAUAAUAAUAAGGUAAAAUCGCAUUAAAUAAGUCACGUCGCAACAAACCAUAACAAAUCAGCAACCAAACAACAAACACUACAACAAGCUCAACUAUAAGAUAUGAGAUUCUCCUCUCACCUAGACUAGAAAUAUACACUCAGCUAGCGUCUUACGAGUUACCUGGGAUUUUCUCUAGCGCCUCUUCGUAUUCGAUCUUUCUCAGACUUGGGAGUUACACUCAACUAGUGUCUCAUCACAAUCUUGCAUAGACCUAAAUUUCUCUCAUUGCUAAGACCAGAGAGUCAUUUUUAACCAACGUUAUGUGAGUUACUUGGGAUUUCCACCAACGUUCAUUGUUAAUAGAAUAUCAUAACUCACCCCGACCUAAGGUUUUUUCCUCGUCUAGACCUAGAAUUCUCACUCAACCAGUGUCAUGCGAGCUACCUGGAAUUUCCAUCAGUAUCGUACGACAGAUCAAACUACACCACAAGGCAACCACAGAUACAACAAGGAAACAACAACACUUUGCUUACUUUAGCACAUAUAAUAACAUAAUAACAAGAUAUCUUAUAAAUUUAAUCACAUAGGAAAGAAUACUCAAUAAAUCUCUUUUACAAAACAUCUCUUUUCCUAAACGAGGAUCAUAAGCAACGGUUUAGAAAUCAUAUUCGAAAAACGAUUUGGCGUUCACAUUCGUUUAUAAAUCACAUUUAAUCUUCUUCAAAAAAAUAUUCUUAUUCAUACACAGAAAGCAUUUAGUCAUUCACUGAAGAACAUUCAUAACGCGCAUUCAGAUAUAGAAAAUGUUUAGUCAUUCACAAACAUUUAUUUUUACAAGAAUCACUCACUAAGAAUAAACAAUCAUAAGAAAAAUAUUUGCAAAUCACAUUUAUCAUUCGCAAACAGUACUACAUGCAAAACAUUGGAUUUCAAUCACAGAUAAUACUUAUAAAACAUUGUGUUUUUAUCACUCACAGAAGAUACUUAGUUUCAACUCCUUCCUUCUCGGCUAUCAACUUUCUCCUCUCGUCUGGUUGUUCCUUCAAUCGAUUAUUUAGCAUCCAAAACUCUCUUUUCUUAUUUUCGUCAGAAAAUCUAAUGUUUUCAAAAAAAAUAAAACUUUCUUUUUUCUUUGGCUUUUGACCCUAUUUAUAGAGGCAUUUCAUCUCCAAAAGGUCAGUUCUACGCUUUACACGUGUCACCUUACUAACACAUCGCGCCAUGCUGCCAACUCGAACUCGACACGUAGUCUAACCAUUAGCGACGAUUUGAAUUUUCCUUGAGACACACACCUUAUAUCCUUAAAAGAAGCCAAACUCUUAAUUCUUCCAAUUGCCCUUUUCUCUAGCUUUUUGAAAAUUCAUCGUUGUUUUCUUUUCCAUAACGAGUUGUCAAGUCACUUUGAGAAGAUAUUUGCUUCCUCGCUUCAUCCUCUUGGGUGCAUAUACUUUUUCUUGCAGUGAAAUGCUAAACUCCUAACUCUUUGGCAUUCACACAUGCUUCCUUCCCACCAGCCGUUCUUAUUGCGUCACUCAUCUUCACGUGAUAGAACUUUUGGACUUACACUUUUCUAUUUUCUUCACCUAUUCUCUGUUUGCAUUCCUCUUCGUGGAUUAGGGCCUUACAGGAAGGGAAAAUUUGGAAUAUAUAUUUAAAAAAAUGGAUGCUUCAUGGGCUUUUUGAUUUUGAUACACAGACCGUAAAAUUUUGAUAUUUUGUUAUAUUUGUUAAAAUGGUCUUUAACUAAGAUAGCCUAAAAUGGUAUACCAUAUUAUAAGAUUGACCUAAAUUUUUUAAAUUUUUCAGAAAUGUCCUAAAUUGACUAAUAUUUUACAUAGAUAUAAGGCCUAAAUGACCAGUUUACCCAUCUUUAUUAUUAAUAGCAUAUUAAAAAAAUAGAAAAAUUAAAAAGGAAAGUAAACCAUUAUUAACAUUUGCAUUUAUUGGAUAUUCUACGUAGAUAUGAUAAGUCAUUAAUUCUAUUAUGGUAAUAUUAUAAUAAAAAAUUCCCUUAAUUAUUUUUAUUUUGGUGAUUUUGUUCAAAAAAUAUUUCCACUUGAUCUCUCUCACUUUCCAAUCUCUCUCUCUCCAUCCAAUCUUUCUUUAGUUUUACAUUAUUUUUCAUAUCUUUCACCUAAUUAUAGUACGUAUUGAAUAAUAAAGUGUAGAUUUUAUGAAUUAAAUGUUCUUAUAUUAAUUUGUUUAUAAAAUGUGAACCAACAAGGAGAGAAAUUAGGGACGUAGGUUACGGUUUAGAAAAUUUAAAAAUAAAAAGUAAAAGUUUCAUUCUUCGAAUACGUUGAAUAUUGAUCCAUUUUCUUCACAAAAGACGUUGAAUAAUAGAAGAUUGAGGGAAGUAUAAGCGGUGAAGAAGAAGAACAUUGAUGGUCGAUUGGUACAGUGAUCUUUCGAAAAAAUUUGGCAAAAAUUUAAGGUUAUUAAGAAUUUAUAUUUCAUAUUCGAAAUGCAUUAGGGUAUAUUGAAUAUAUUCAAGAUAACAUAAUUUAUGUAUUAUUGAAUAUAUGAAAUAGUAUAUAUGUAACAAAUCACAUAAAAUAUAUGUAUUAUGCAGUAGUAUAUAUAUAAGAAUUAAAAAAAAAGUACUGAUUGGAUAAAUAAUCUGUGUAUACAGUGGUAUAUAAAUGCAGUAUGAAAAAAUCACAAACCAUGAAAAAAAAAUUUGUGUAUGUAUUAUUGAAUAUAUGCAAUAUUAUAUAUGUAACAAAUCACAAAACAUAAAUGAAUUAUUUAGUAGCAUAUAUGUAAGAAAUAAAAAAUAUACUGAAUGAAUAUAUAAUAUGUGUAUAUAUUGGUAUAUAUACGCAAUAAGAAAAAAUCAUAGAACACGAAAAAGAAUAUGCGUAUAUAUUAUUGAAUAUAUGCAGUAGUAUAUAUGUGAAAAAUCACAAAACAUAAAUUUAUUAUUUAGUUGUAUACCAUAGUACAUACGAAUGAUGAGACAUUUAAUAAAAAUUGUAUGUCAAACAUGACAGAAAGAUGAACUGAAUAAUAAAAAAUUAAACAAAAUAAAAGAAACAUGACCGGAAUAUAUGUUACGGAAUGGAAGAAGGACAAACUUUUAAGAAAAAAAAUGCUACGAAAUGGAAAAAGAAAGAAUAUACAAAACGAAAAAUGAAAAGGAAAAAAAGACCAACAAUAUAUUCAGUAGCAAAUCGAAAGGGAAGAAGAAAACAAUUUUUUGAAAUACAAAUCGGACAAGAAAACUGAUGUCGAAAUUUAUGAAAGAAAAUAUCGAAAUUGAAGGAGGAAGAAAACGAAGUGGUUGCAUGUGCUGGAACAAAUUUCACAAAUUCAAUUGGUGAUGAAAAUAAAUUAUUACACAUUAGAAAAGAUUUCUAUUUUAGGUAGAAUUAAUAAAGUAUUUUCAUUUGAUUUAGAAUAUUUGUGAAAUUUUGGAGUAGAUUUAAGUCAUUCCUCUAAUUUUUUUUGGUUAAAAUAAGUUUAUUUUAAUUAGAAAAUAUUUUAUUUUAAAAUUUAGAAACAAUUAGUUUGUGAUUCAAAUAUGUCUUUCAAAAAAUUUACUUAAAAAAAAGACAAAAUUUAUUUAUAUUUUAUUUUUGAAAAAAGAAAAAAAGGUUAAGGAUGAAUAAUUGGGGUUGGAAACUUUAUGCGUUGAACCAAAGUAAAAGAAAAGUCAUAAAACAGAGAUCCAAUAAAUUAAUAUGUCAUAUAAAUAUGAGAGGAAAUACCAAAAUUUCACGUACACAAUCAAACGAAACAGUGCUUAAUGGGCGAAGGAAUAUAUACAAACUAAACACUCCCAUCCCUCGAAUCUGCAGGUCCAUUUUGCGUAUAUUCUUGAAUACUCCAUGCAUUUUCUUCCAACAUUUUCACCCACUUUUCUUAAUCUUCGAAUAGCCUCUGAAUUCUGUUAUUUGGAUAUGAGCUACUACUCUUUCUUCAGUUUUAAUAUGUUAUUGAAUUAGGGUUCUUCAAUCUACCUGCAUUUGAUGCGGUAGAGGUAUGUAGUUGUUCUUUUUCUUUCUUCUUUUUAUAUUCGGCGAUCCGGGUUUGCCGGAUUGCAUUAGGGUUUCCCGGGCAUGUCACUUGCUGGGUAUUUUUUUUUUUUUUUGUAAUGUCACUCUGAUUUAGUAACUAUUACUUUGAAAUUAGUUAAUAUCUGUGUUGCAUGAAUCAUUUGGAGCAUAUGCGUGAGCUUUUCCUUUGGUCAUUUGCUUCUUCCUGGUUGUUUAUUGAUAUGAUAAGCCUAUGGCCGUGGUCGCGUAAUUCUGUGCUUUGGCACCAGUUUUUUGAAUUAUAUAUUUUUUGUGGUCAGAUAAUCUGUUUUAAAUGAAUGUAGCUAUUGAAUUGUAUGUUGGAUUUGGCAACAGUUCUAACUUUUUUUUUUUACCCUUUUGGAUUAUAUUAUGGACGAGGGGUUCACAGAUUUUGGAAGCUUUGGCGAAUUUUUAAUUUGCUUUACACUCUGACUAGUGGUGAGCAAAUAAUUAGACGGUGUAGUGAAAUAAAUAUUCGAAAAGCUAGAUGUAGCUUGUUGGAGAAAAUGCAGCUAUUUAAAACGUGACAUGGUGUUUUAUUCAUCUAUUUGUAGCUAAAGCUUUGGUAUGUACUUCUAAUGGGAAUCUUUUUGUUCAGUGCGUAGUAGUCGGAAGUAUGGUGAAGGAUACUCGAUCCAGUGUCAGAGAGAGGAAUGAGGAAAACAAUAAUCUAAAAGGGAAACAAAAUGGUGAGAAGGCUCCAGCAAGAGCGGGCUCUACAACACCAGAUUCAUCUGCUUUAAGGAGGUCUGCAAGAGAAGCAUCAUUGAAGAAAAUAAUCAUUGUGACCCCUUCCAAAUCUAGAAAAUCUGAUCGACUUGACAAGCAUUCACCUCGCACUCGUAGCGAUAAAAAGAAACAUGGUACCAUUGUUCAAAAGGACAUGCUUAAUCCGCUUAGAAGAUCUGAGAGGGUUAAAAAGCAGUCUUCAUCUACCUCUUCAGGUUCUGGAUCAAAGAAAUUAGUUAAAAGUUCAUCUACCUCUUCAGGAUCUGUAUCUAAGAAAUCAGAUAAAAGCUCAGGCUCACCAUAUACGAAGGAAAAAAAGGAGAAGAAAGAGAAGAGUAUUGAACAGUUAAUUCUUGACCCUAGAGAGGCUGGAAAAUCGCCAAAACAAGACGAGGUUUCACAAAAUGCCAAAGAUAAGAGAAUGGAUGCUCGUGCUUAUAGGGCAUUGUUUAGGGAAAAACUUAAGACAGGUACUUCAUCUAGCAUCUUAAUUGUACUCUCUUUUUAUGCAUUUCUUCCCCCGUGGACAUCCCUGCCUUGUAUGAUUUGUAUUAUUCAUUUUGAGAGGAUAAUGGUUCUCAUACUAUCAUUUAGUUGAUUGACAUCUAUACAU